CCCCCAAUUACAGCUCUGUGUGUGUUUCUGCUAAUGUGCCCUCUAAUCCCAGCUCUGCAUGUGUCUGCUGAUAAUGUGUCCCCCAAUCCCAGCUCUGUAUGUGUCUGCUGAUAAUGUGUCCCCUAAUCCCAGCUCUGUAUGUGUCUGCUGAUAAUGUGCCCCAAUCCCAGCUCUGUAUGUGUCUGCUGAUAAUGUGCCCUCUAAUCCCAGCUCUGUAUGUGUCUGCUGAUAAUGUGUCCCCCAAUCCCAGCUCUAUAUGUGUCUGGUGAUAACAUGUUCCCCAAUCCCAGCUCUGUAUGUGUCUGCUGAUAAUGUGUCCCCCAAUCCCAGCUCUAUAUGUGUCUGGUGAUAACGUGUUCCCCAAUCCCAGCUCUGUAUGUGUCUGCUGAUAAUGUGUCCCCCAAUCCCAGCUCUAUAUGUGUCUGGUGAUAACAUGUUCCCCAAUCCCAGCUCUGUAUGUGUCUGCUGAUAAUGUGCCCCCCAAUCCCAGCUCUGUAUGUGUCUGCUGAUAAUGUGUCCCCCAAUCCCAGCUCUGCAUGUGUCUGGUGAUAACAUGUUCCCCAAUCCCAGCUCUGUAUGUGUCUGCUGAUAACAUGUUCCCCAAUCCCAGCUCUGUAUGUGUCUGCUGAUAAUAUAUACCCCAACCCCAGCUCAGUAUAGGUCUGCUGAAAAUGUGUCCCUCAAUUCCAGCAUUGUAUUGUCUUGACAGCUGUAAUAAAUUUCAUUUUUUUAAUGUAUUGUAUCACGUAGUUCCUGAAUACUUAGCACUACAUAAUUUUCCCACCGGCCGGGGAGACCUAAUGCGCAUGUGCGGCAAUGCCGCGCAUGCGCAUUAGAGCUCCCCAUAGGAAAGCAUUAAAAUGCUUUUCAAUGCUUUCCUAUGGGGAAAUGAGCGACGCUGGAGGUCCUCACAUAGUGUGAGGACAUCCAGCGAUGCUCUAGCACAGGUUUCCUGUGCUAGAAACCAGGAAGUGCCCUCUAGCUAUUAGACAGCCACUAGAGGUGGAGUUAACCCUGCAAGGUAAUUAUUGCAGUUUAUAAAAAAACUGCUAUAAUUACACUUGCAGGGUUAAGAGUAGUGGGAGUUGGCACCCAGACCACUCCAAUGGGCAUAAGUGGUCUGGGUGCCUGGAGUGUCCCUUUAACUCAUUUAAUUUAACAAAUGUGUCAUACACAUUAUUUGCAAUGUGCUGAUCACACCUCUGGCGCUCAAAUGGUAAACAAAAUUAGAAAAAGCAAAAUGUUUAUUUUUCUUUUGACAUUUCAUAUAAGUUCAAAGUAUCAGUGGGGCUUCUUGGUUGAGGGAGUGGAGUCAAAUUCCAUGGUUAGUAUCUGGCACUGUGCCACCUUAAUACACAAGCCACCACUUAAUACAUGUGUCAAUGUAUUUACAUUUUGCUAAAGGUUUGCUAUUCCAUUUGAGUAAAAAUAUAUAUUGUUGAGAUUGUUUUAUUGCAUGUAUUGCUUACAACAUAUUAUUUAUUAAAUAAAGUCUACAAUAUGAGUUUA
This is a non-coding RNA of Pelobates cultripes (western spadefoot toad), 1509 nucleotides long. NCBI's taxonomy places the organism in Eukaryota, Metazoa, Chordata, Amphibia, Anura, Pelobatidae. The record is from the annotation of a GenBank genome assembly.